RNAcentral lists this ribosomal RNA (253 nucleotides) under uncultured bacterium. Its description in RNAcentral is "partial 16S ribosomal RNA". It matches the Rfam family "Bacterial small subunit ribosomal RNA", at positions 524 to 776 of the family's 1533-position model. The record is from RNAcentral.
GACAGAGGGUGCAAACGUUGUUCGGAAUUACUGGGCGUAAAGCGCGUGUAGGCGGCCCUGCAAGUCGGAUGUGAAAUCCCACGGCUCAACCGUGGAAGUGCAUUCGAAACUGCAGGGCUAGAGUCCUGGAGAGGAAGGUGGAAUGCUUGGUGUAGAGGUGAAAUUCGUAGAUAUCAGGAGGAACACCGGUGGCGAAGGCGGGUCUCUGGGCCGUAACUGACGCUGAGGAGCGAAAGCGUGGGGAGCGAACAGG